UUUCCGUAGGUGAACCUGCGGAAGGAUCAUUAUCGAGUUUGAAUGCGGGCUCUGACGCUGGCUUCGGCAUGUGCUCGAGCCCCGCCCAUCCACUCAACCCCUGUGCACUUUAGAGGUGUAGUCCUCCGUCAUGGGAGCCGCUCUCCGGAGCUGGGACUGCGCCUCGACCCUUCUACACAAACACCUGUAAAGUCUAGUGAAUGUGAUCGCCCUCUGGGCGGAAUUGUAAUACAACUUUCAACAACGGAUCUCUUGGCUCUC
Molecule: unclassified non-coding RNA, 261 nt
Filed under: plant metagenome
Description: partial contains small subunit ribosomal RNA, internal transcribed spacer 1, and 5.8S ribosomal RNA
Source: RNAcentral